GGAGAACACCAUAUUCAAUCAUCAAAUUCGGUCCAGAGGCCGGGAAAUACUGAAGUGCUACGAGGAUUCGCUCAAGUGAAGCGGCACCCACUCUUAUUUGAACUCGGCAGGGCUUGUGCCUAUGCCGGAGCUUGGAAUAAAGAAUAGUUCUCG
Rhipicephalus microplus (southern cattle tick) is the source of this 153-nucleotide long non-coding RNA. The record is from RefSeq and is a predicted model, not a curated record. Lineage: Eukaryota; Metazoa; Arthropoda; Arachnida; Ixodida; Ixodidae.